AGUGAACGCUGGCGGUAUGCCUAACACAUGCAAGUCGAACGGCAGCACAGUAAGAGCUUGCUCCUACGGGUGGCGAGGGGCGGACGGGUGAGGAAUACAUCGGAAUCUACUUUUUCGUGGGGGAUAACGGAGGGAAACUUACGCUAAUACCGCAUACGACCUACGGGUUAAAGCAGGGGUUCUUCGGACUUUUCGCGAUUGAAAGAGCCGAUGUCGGAUUAGCUAGUUGGCGGGGUAAAGGCACACCAAGGCGAGGAUCCGUAGCUGGCCUGAGAGGAUGAUCAGCACCACUGAACCUGAGACACGGUCCAGACUCCUACGGGAGGCAGCAGUGGGGAAUAUUGGACAAGGGGCGAAAGCCUGCGCCAGCCAUACGGCGUGGGUGAAGACGGCCUUCGGGUUGUAAAGCCCGUUUGUUGGGAAAGAAAAGCGGCAGGUUAACACCGCGCUGUUUUGCCGGAACCAAAAAAAUAAGCACGGGUAACUUUCGU
This 491-nucleotide ribosomal RNA is filed under the name uncultured bacterium. RNAcentral describes it as "partial 16S ribosomal RNA". It matches the Rfam family "Bacterial small subunit ribosomal RNA", at positions 29 to 506 of the family's 1533-position model. The record is from RNAcentral.